Molecule: non-coding RNA, 1227 nt
Organism: Prunus avium (sweet cherry)
Lineage: Eukaryota; Viridiplantae; Streptophyta; Magnoliopsida; Rosales; Rosaceae
Source: RefSeq, a predicted model, not a curated record
AAAUAGCAUAAUGAUAAAAAUCAAUUUGUUAAAUAGAAAAUUUUCAAAAGGCAAAUCUUAGGAGAAACCAUUAUUUCCUAGUUGGGCUAAACAUUGCAGGAUUCCUGUGAGCCCUGUCUUUUUGGAUCAAAGGAAGGCUCUGUUUUGAUUCUUUUGUGAAGUUCCGGAACCCCUUUAGACUAUAAUUGCUUCGCCGAUGGUAUAACCCUAAUUCUUUCCAGUGCAUUUAAUUAUCGUCAUUGAUGAAAUGGAGCAUUUUUGGUGGAUCACUCUAGAUUUGGUUGUAUCCCUAGUUUAUGCUCCUAAACUGAGGAAUUGGCUUCCGAUGACCACAUAGUACAAGACCUGCUGUGUGGACAGAUACGGGUCAAACAUUUUUCCGAUGGUGGCAGAUCGUGGAGGUAAUCGCAUAAUUGCAAUAUGCUUCUUAAAUUCUCAAGUCGAAAGUUGAAUUAUUUGAUUUCUUUUACAUACAGUAUCGCUUGUCCUGUUGACUCGGUUUUUCGUACUGACAAGUUAAGUUCAUGUUCAAGGGGGACCUUUAAAUUCUGUGAUUGGUAUGUAGAGUAGGUUUAAUGGAGAAGAUGGGGAGCAAUGAGGGGUGGAGCAACUAGCCCUGCAGGCUGCAGCAGUAUGCUGGGGAAGGAGUAUGGCAGGGUGUUCAUGUAGAGAGUGGCAUUUUAUUCCCUAUUUUUGGCCUUCUUAAGUGGGAUGUUAUAUUUUCUGAUAUACCAAAUGUCUUCUGCACCAGAUUUCAGGUAUGCUUGAGUUAGUGUGCUACCAAUCUCCCAGAUUUUUGGAAUGUUCUACGUUAUUUACAUUCAUCCAUACAUGGUGUUUUUAUGUACAUAUGUAUUUGCACACUUGGUUUAGGUUUAGUGGCUUUAGAGUUUGCUCAGUAGCAAUGCUUUCUCGAUCGAUGUGAUUUAUUAUUCAUGUUGAAGUGACAGCAUGAAGCAAAAUAAGGUGUUUGGUCAAGUUCAUGAGACAAGGCUGAUAUGAAGUUGAUGUCGAACAGGAAGAGAAAUAAAGAAGACUGAGAAAGGUGAGAAAAGGGCUAAGAUUUGAAGAAGAAAAUAGGAGAACAAAGAAGGCAAAGGUCUUCUCAUCAAUACAUACGGCUCUGCUCAUCAAUCGAUUUGGUAAAAAAUGAAAUCCUAUGUUGCAGAUCGCACCCUUGGAUUUUUUUGAUGAGCAGAGCCAUAUAGAACUCACCUACAGAAUUUU